CUGGUAUAUAAAGUCCCGCUGGCCAGUCGCGCUCCCCACCUUGCCUGCGCCCUCCUGCAAGCCAGCGGUUCUUCACACACUCGCCAUCCAGUGAGACGCGCCGCGCACCGACGGAGCGGACAUGGGCAGAGCGAUGGUAGCCAGGCUCGGACUGGGGCUGCUGCUUCUGGCGCUGCUCUUACCCACGCAGAUUUAUUCAAACCAAACAACUGCUGUAACAGUUUCAAGUAACUCCACCCAAAAUACCUCGACUACCCCAAGUCCAGCGAAUGCCACCACCAAGGCAAGUGGAGGUGCUCUUCAGUCAACAGCCAGUCUCUUUAUGAUCUCGGUCUCUCUUCUACAUCUCUACUGUUAAGAGACUCAGGCCAAGAAGCGUCUAUACUUCCCUAUCUUCUAAACCGAAUCCAAAUGGCGUCUAGACAUCCAAUGUGACAAGGAAAAAACAGGUCUUCGUUGAAUCUGCUAAUUCCACACCUUAUUUUAUUGACACAGAAAACGUUGAGGAUCCCAAAUUUGAUUGGUUUGAAGAGCAUGGGCAGGGUUUGACUAGAUGAUGAAUGCCAAUAUUAAAUCUGCUGGAGUUUCAUAUACAAGAUGAAGAGAGACAUAUCCAAAAUCAGUUAAGAGAUGAUUUCCUUAAAUGUGGCUUAAGAAGUAUGGACUCAAAACUUUACCUUGAAAAUGAAUAGCUUUUAUCUUAUCUAGAGAUAAAGGAUGGGAUUCGGAACAGAUUCAGUUUUCAUUUGGUUCAUUUAAAGCUAUAAGGCCAUAAAACAGGUAGUUUAAAAAGCUUCCAUGAUUCUAUUGAUCUGUACUUUAGAAGGAACUUCCAGAUCUUCCUAUAAAUCCUCUGUAUUGUUUUAUAGUACUAAUUUAAAGCCGAUGUCACUCUAGAAAAAGUUUUACAUUGUUAAGCUAUCACUGUUCUCUUGGGAACUGAAUUCUUUCUUUCGAGGCUUUGGAUUUGACAUUGCAUUUGACUUUUUAUAUAGUAAUUGACAUGUGCCAGGGCAAUGAUGGAUUGGAAUCUACCCCAAAUCCAAGCAUAAUGAGUAAAUUUUGCUUAUAUACUUACCACCUAUCCUUACUCAAGAGUGCCAGAUUCAUUUAGCUAAACUAAUUCCAAGGAAGUAGAAGUACACUGACCUCAAUUUCAGAAUGCUUUUUAUUUCUGCAUACGUUGAAUACUUUUUACAAUUUUAAAAAUGGUAUAUUUUGAAGGCAAAAUUGGCCAUCUUAAAAUUGAAAAGGCAAAUAUGUGAAGGAGCCAAAACUAUAAAUCAGGUAUUUGGGAAGUUAAGACUGGAAGCUUACUUACAUUAAAUUCAGAAAAACUUUUAUACUCUUUCUGUACAUACUUUUUUUAAAAACUAUGACUCAAUCAGGAUAGCCAUUUGGAACACUUUCUGUUACCGGUCAAUAUUUUUAGAUAGAACCUGAUCCUAAGCCUAAUGUGGGCUUGAUUCUGGAAAGUAAAUCUUUUCACAACUGCCUCGAUGCACAGAAACCUUUUUAAAAAUAGACAUUCCCUAAAGUCUUUUGUUCGCAUGGUCACACACUGAUGCUUAAAUGUUCCAGUAUCUAAUAUGGCCACAGUAGUCUUGAUAACCAGUCGUUUUUUUCCAUCUUUAGAAAUGUACACAGGAACACCACAUCCAACAGAUCUCAAGCUACUGUGUGUGUGAAUGAACAUUCCCUUUUGUUUCAUACCUGAAUGCUGUACAUCUAUUUUGGAUUGUAUAUUGAUUGUGUUUGUGUAUUUAUGCUUUGAUUCAUAGUAACUUCUCAUGUUAUGGAAUUGAUUUGCAUUGAACACAAACUGUAAAUAAAAAUAAAUGGCUGAAAGAGCAA
Pteropus alecto (black flying fox) is the source of this 1854-nucleotide long non-coding RNA. RefSeq lists it as uncharacterized. The record is from RefSeq and is a predicted model, not a curated record. NCBI's taxonomy places the organism in Eukaryota, Metazoa, Chordata, Mammalia, Chiroptera, Pteropodidae. The transcript has 2 exons.